RNAcentral lists this ribosomal RNA (406 nucleotides) under uncultured bacterium. Its description in RNAcentral is "partial 16S ribosomal RNA". It matches the Rfam family "Bacterial small subunit ribosomal RNA", at positions 30 to 526 of the family's 1533-position model. The record is from RNAcentral.
AUUGAACGCUGGCGGCAGGCUUAACACAUGCAAGUCGAGCGAGCGGCGGACGGGUGAGUAAUGUCUGGGAACCUGCCUGAUGGAGGGGGAUAACUACUGGAAACGGUAGCUAAUCCCGCAUACCAUCAGAUGUGCCCAGCUGGGCUUAGCUAGUAGGUGGGGUAAUGGGUCACCUAGGCGACGAUCCCUAGCUGGUCUGAGAGGAUGACCAGCCACACGGGAACGGAGACACGGGCCAGACGCCUAGGCGAGGAAGCAGUGGGGAAUAUUGCACAAUGGGCGCAAGCCUGAUGCAGCCAUGCCGCGUGUGUGAAGAAGGCCUUCGGGUUGUAAAGCACUUUCAGCGAGGAGGCGUUACUCGCAGAAGAAGCACCGGCUAACUCCGUGCCAGCAGCCGCGGUAAUUC